CACGUAGGGCGCGAGCGUUGUCCGGAAUUAUUGGGCGUAAAGAGCUCGUAGGCGGUUUGUCGCGUCUGCUGUGAAAACCCGCAGCUCAACUGUGGGCUUGCAGCUGAUACGGGCAGGCUUGAGUUCGGUAGGGGAGACUGGAAUUCCUGGUGUAGCGGUGGAAUGCGCAGAUAUCAGGAAGAACACCCGUGGCGAAGGCGGCUCUCUGGAACGCAACUGACGCUGAGACGCGAAAGCGUGGGGAGCAAACAGG
This 253-nucleotide ribosomal RNA is filed under the name uncultured bacterium. RNAcentral's name for it is "partial 16S ribosomal RNA". It matches the Rfam family "Bacterial small subunit ribosomal RNA", at positions 524 to 776 of the family's 1533-position model. The record is from RNAcentral.